GACGAACGCUGGCGGCGUGCCUAAUACAUGCCAGUAGAACGCACAGUUUAUACCGUAGCUUGCUACACCAUAGACUGUGAGUUGCGAACGGGUGAGUAACGCGUAGGUAACCUGCCUGGUAGCGGGGGAUAACUAUUGGAAACGAUAGCUAAUACCGCAUAAUAUUAAUUAUUGCAUGAUAAUUAAUUGAAAGGUGCAAUUGCACCACUACCAGAUGGACCUGCGUUGUAUUAGCUAGUAGGUGAGGUGACGGCUCACCUAGGCGACGAUACAUAGCCGACCUGAGAGGGUGAUCGGCCACACUGGGACUGAGACACGGCCCAGACUCCUACGGGAGGCAGCAGUAGGGAAUCUUCGGCAAUGGACGAAAGUCUGACCGAGCAACGCCGCGUGAGUGAAGAAGGUUUUCGGAUCGUAAAGCUCUGUUGUAAGAGAAGAACGGGUGUGAGAGUGGAAAGUUCACACUGUGACGGUAUCUUACCAGAAAGGGACGGCUAACUACGUG
RNAcentral lists this ribosomal RNA (505 nucleotides) under uncultured bacterium. RNAcentral's name for it is "partial 16S ribosomal RNA". It matches the Rfam family "Bacterial small subunit ribosomal RNA", at positions 28 to 507 of the family's 1533-position model. The record is from RNAcentral.